GAUGAAGAACGCAGCGAAAUGCGAUACGUAAUGUGAAUUGCAGAAUUCAGUGAAUCAUCGAAUCUUUGAACGGAUAUUGCGCUCUCUGGUAUUCCGGAGAGCAUGCUUGUUUGAGUAUCAGUAAACACCUCAACUUCCAUAUCUUUUUUGAAAUGGGAGUUGGACUUGAGUGAUCCCAACGCUUUUCCUCACCGAAAAGUGGCGGGUUACUUGAAAUGCAGGUGCAGCUGGACUUUUCUCUGAGCUAUAAGCAUAUCUAUUUAGUCUGCCUAAAAAACAGAUUAUUACCUUUGCUGCAGCUAACAUAAAGGAGAUUAGUUCUUGUGCUGACUGAUGCAGGAUUCACAAAGACAGGCUUCGGCCGACUUUGUAAACUCGAUCUCAAAUCAAGUAAGACUACCCGCUGAACUUAAGCAUAUCAAUAAGCGGAGGA
Molecule: unclassified non-coding RNA, 433 nt
Filed under: soil metagenome
Description: partial contains 5.8S ribosomal RNA, internal transcribed spacer 2, and large subunit ribosomal RNA
Rfam family: 5.8S ribosomal RNA (bases 1-120)
Source: RNAcentral